This is a non-coding RNA of Camellia sinensis, 649 nucleotides long. NCBI's taxonomy places the organism in Eukaryota, Viridiplantae, Streptophyta, Magnoliopsida, Ericales, Theaceae. The record is from RefSeq and is a predicted model, not a curated record.
AGUCUCACUCCCAAAUUCUAAAUACAGAAAAAGUUAUACCCAAAUUAGUGACGACUGUUCACGUUAUGUCAAUUAGUUAUGUACCAUUUCUUCACCUAAACCAAUUCCUAUCGAUUUCUCCUGUUUUAUAAGACAUGGAUUACAACAUAUGAAAGAAUAAUGAGCUUGGUACCACCAUGACUAAUUGAUUGAACGAUCAAAGAGAAUAAGUAAAGGAUCGAGUAUAACCUUAUAUUAUGUGUUGUACACUGUAAUUGUAGGUCGAGACGAGGACAUUGUACCAUUACCACCGGGAACCGAUCACUGUAACCAACCAAGUGGUCAGUCCUAGUCAUGACACCUGUUUUCUUUUGUCAACCUUCGUGGGUUCAGGCACUGCACGAAGCCAUUUAUUUUUGUAAAGUCUAUUGAAAUGUUGGCUUAAUUUUGAUUACCCAUUUAAAGUUAAAGAGGUAUAACUUCAAUGAUUUUUAUAUAAGCCUAAUGAUGGGGCUGGGUCUGUACAUAUGGUUGUUUAUCACCGAUGCUACAACAUAUGGUUUGGAGCUUUAUCUAUUUUCCAUGAUGAAUGUGAUGUAUAAGAGGUCCUGGCAUGUAGAUGUAGCUCAAUGGAAUUUAUAUGUAUAGUUAUUUUCCUACUUUAUGCUUC